Molecule: long non-coding RNA, 2429 nt
Organism: Biomphalaria glabrata
Lineage: Eukaryota; Metazoa; Mollusca; Gastropoda; Planorbidae
Exons: 11
Source: RefSeq, a predicted model, not a curated record
AUUAAUAGUGCGAAUUGAAAAUACUGAGUGCAAAAUAAAAUAUAUAUAGGUCUGUGUUUAUUGUUUACAUUUCAUCUACUUCCGGACCCGGUGUGUCCUAAAUUUACGAAGAAAUGGUUGAAGACUAGAUCUACAUCUAGACCUAGUUCUAGACAUAGAUCUCUAGAUCUACUGAUCUAGUAGUCUAGGUCUAGAUAUUAGAAUUAGAUUUAUUCUUAGAAUCUACCUCCAAGAAUGAAAUCAGCUCAGCCUUGAGUUGGACGACAUGCUUUAACACUUUUCCCCUGGAGAGCCAACAAACGUUGGUGUGAUACAGGAGACAUUAGUAGUCUGAAUCCAUUGCUUCACAAAGCUCUGAGGAAAGUCAGAAUGCAAGCGGUCGAGAUUUGAGGAAGUUUACAACUUCAAUCACUUGAUCCAGAACAGACAUCAAAUAUUUGAAGGCAAGAGCUUCUCUGUGGAUCAUGCAGUGAACAACUAAUACAUUUGGAUUUUCUUGACGCACAAGAGUGAAGAAUGCCUUUCUAUUUCCCUGCAUGGAAGGACAGCCAUCGGUGCAAACGCUGACACAGUUUGUCUCCACUGUACUUUGAAUAGCAAAAUGUUUUCGUUCACCACUUAAAAAUCUUCGCCUUUGGUCGUAGUUGGGCACAACAUAAUGAGGCAACACUUAUUCUGGAUGUUGAAACUAGUGAAAAGAACACGUGGCCUUGUUUUAUCAUGAGGCCCAUACAAAAUACUGGCCCCCCAACAGUCCUUUAGAAUAAAGAUUGUAUGGAAAGCUGCCUGAUCUGAAAAGAAUGGAGUUCAUCUUCGAUAAAUAUAUAUAUAUCUGAACCCUACUAUUUAUAAUGAGAACACAGAGAAAAAAAAAACGCAAACAGUGGUGAUUUUAUUGUUUACCAUGGAGUUGUCUACUUUUCAAAUUUUACUGACCAAGUUUGUACAGUGACUAAUCCAUCUGCAGUUUCCGAACCAGUAACUGAUAUCUCAACAAAAUAUUGCUAUACUGAUGGUGUCUGUCACCUCAGAGGAUCAACAUGAUUUGUUCAUUGAAAGACACUUGAAGGUGUAAGUUGUAAAAGGUUUUGAAAGACUUGCCAAAGCAAGGCAUUCUUGACAGGGAUAAACAUUGGGAGCAGCUCUAGCUGACUCAGCUCAGAGGAUGACAUCACAGUUAAUUGACAUCUUUCUGUUAACAAUGCAUGGAUUAUCUUAUCUUCUUCAUUCUAGGGGAAUUAUGCAUUGAGUGAAGACAUCUUGCUGUAGAAGAGAAGAAAAAUUCAGAUAUUCCACAUGAUUUACAAUAUGGCUUUGAUUGUCUUAUGUUAAUGGCUGGUAAAGAACUGAAACAUGUAGGCUGGAGAAUCACUUGAUAGAAAUCAAGAUGUUUAGUCACUUUGGGAGCAGUGAUCUUGAGAUUUCGAUGCUAGAUACUCUCAGAUUUGAAAGCCGGUAUCUUGGAUAUUUUCUUAGCUCCUCUAGAUCAAGAUGGCAAAGAACUUUAUAAGGAUAGGUCUCCCAUCCAUCACACAACAUUCAAGCACCAAUGGGUUUCUUUCAAGGAGUUGAAGAUAAGGUAGUUCCCCUUAACAAAGCUGAGAUGAGGAAGUUAAAGCAAAAGGACUGCAAUGUUUGUUUCUAGGACCAGACACAAGAGAAUUCGACAACAUAUGUAUCAGAAGAUCAAAAUCAGAAACUGAAAUCUGCCCAUUUGGAGUGUCACCAGAGAAUGCUGACCAUCUCCUCCAAAACUGCUCUCUUUACCAAGAGGCUGUACAUGACACUGGCCCCAAAACACCCCAAUAGAAAGAAAACUAUAUGGAGAGUUCCCUGAUUUGGAAACUACUGCGAAAAUAAUCUCAUAUACUGGUCCAGUCAUCUGAAUGCUCCAAUAAAAAAAUGAGAAGGAAGAAGAAAGAAGAUUGGAAGCAACAUUGCUAUCAAAAAGCAGAGACGAUACAAACCUCAUUAGAUGAAGAGUUGGUAAAGUCCUUGGUUUUGAGCCAGCAGAGAAACAUAAAAAGGGCCGUACACAUAUAUGUAAAAUACAUGCUAGAUCUAUGAGUGUAGAGAAAGAUAUUCAUUAUGAGCUGCUGGCUAGAUUAUGCCCAAACAGUACAGGAGCGGAAAUUCGUAGUGUUGGCACAGAAGCUGGAAUGUUUGCUAUCAGGGCUCAUAGGAAGAUGGCUACAGAGAAAUAUUUUCUGGAAGCAGUAAAUAAAGUCAUCAAAGCCUACGCCAAAUCUAGUGCAACUCCUUGCUACAUGACAAUGAAAUCAAUAGUAGCUUGAUAGAAAAGGCUACUAGAGAAUCAGUACAGAACUUGUGUUUACUCACUGAUCUGAUUUUAAACUUAAGUGAAUCAUUGUUUGUAUUUAUGAUGUUUUAUUUCAACUUAUUAAAUCAUGGUAUUUUUUCUUAUUAAA